UGUUUGCUUAAAUUUGUCUUCAUCACAACCACUUUCAGAGGUAACCUUCAAUCUUUUGACAACUGCUGGAGAUUCAGGGACUGUUUCAUGAAUAAGAAGCUAAGGAUAUGAAAACUUCUCUCCCAUUACUGAUAACUUUUUCAAGAAAGGAAACAUUUCUGCAGCUUCUUGGUUGGAUGAUGGGGGAGAAUUGCAUGGAGAAGGUACUCUGCUGCCAAUAGGAGCCGGGAUUGCUGGAUAAUGUGUGGAAAUGAAAACCAUCAAUGGCCUUAAUCUUUUCGUGGACUAAAAAGGAAAUGUUCUGAACAGUAUGAAAUGCCUGCAGACAGAAGCUUAGAGGAUGAACUGACCUUGUACAAACUUAGCCAACCUCAGCAAUCUUCUGCCAGAUGUGUGCUUCAUUAUUCAAGUGAUACUGCACUGUCAGACUCCUUUUGAAACGAAGUGGACAUGCCAAUCCAACGUCUGGUCCUCAGAUCCUUAGCUACUGUAAGUAGAAAACACUGUACAGACGGAGAGCUGAUUCCAUUUACUCAAGGGAUAUUCAUUUAGAUUUGAAAUGUUAAUCAAUGCAGUUCAGAGCUCUCUAAAAAGUUCUAUCCUGAAAGCAAUAGAACUUCAAAACUUCUGAGUUGUUUUGCAUCUUCAGUUUAAAUGUGUUUAUAAUAUGUAUUUAAAAUAGUUUAGCAUAUUAAAUAUUUUGU
Molecule: long non-coding RNA, 704 nt
Filed under: Dromaius novaehollandiae (emu)
Lineage: Eukaryota; Metazoa; Chordata; Aves; Casuariiformes; Dromaiidae
Description: lncRNA (ENSDNVG00000016981.1)
Source: RNAcentral